ACGUCACUUGGGAAAAACAGCCCCCUGCCGUUGCCAGCGCAGCGAGGGGAAACUCCGUUUUCCUUUGCCCUGUCGCAGCCGGAUCCCGCAGUCGCUCGUGCUCGGCUCCCUCUGCAAGCCGCUAGAAUGAGAGAGGCGAUGAUACCGAGAGAGGAAACUUACCUCCCAGACGCUCGGCUGCAGCGCCAUAAACUAAGCAGCCCUGGCAGCGGAGAGGGACUUUCCUCCUGCUCUUCCACGGGAUGCUUUCAAAGAAAAUCCAAGCUGACUGAGAGCUAAAGCCACCGCUUCUGAAUUCUGGGCACUGGGGAAAAGGCAGACCCCUGAUUUACACCCCCCCGCCCCGAAACAGUCGUUGCUAAGAAAUCCUUGGAGAACAGCUCUUUUGACGGAAUCGCUAGAUGUGGCUUUUGAGGGCCGUGGCGGGCGAUGGCUGGAGCAGGGGAGCGCGGGCCACGUGACGCGGCCGAUUAACAAGUGGGCUUUGUCAUGUGUCGCUACCAGGACACCUGCGGCGGCUGCAGCCUGCUCCUCACAAUAGGGGCACUUUGUUAGCAGCCUCGCCUCCAAAAGAUGGAGCAAAUGAGUGUAAAGAGGGGAAGGUUUUGCCGAUUAGUCAUUGAAUCUCUCCCAAAUAAAGCUGUGUCAUGUAAGAAC
This is a long non-coding RNA of Varanus komodoensis (Komodo dragon), 657 nucleotides long. RefSeq lists it as uncharacterized. The record is from RefSeq and is a predicted model, not a curated record. Lineage: Eukaryota; Metazoa; Chordata; Lepidosauria; Squamata; Varanidae. The transcript is spliced from 2 exons.